Molecule: transfer RNA, 83 nt
Filed under: Microscilla marina ATCC 23134
Lineage: Bacteria; Pseudomonadati; Bacteroidota; Cytophagia; Cytophagales; Microscillaceae
Rfam family: tRNA
About the family: Transfer RNA (tRNA) molecules are approximately 80 nucleotides in length. Their secondary structure includes four short double-helical elements and three loops (D, anti-codon, and T loops).
Source: Rfam by way of RNAcentral
GCCGAUGUGGUGGAAUUGGCAGACACGGCAGUCUCAGACUCUGUCGCCUUUUGGCAUUGGGGGUUCGAAUCCCUCCAUCGGCA